GGCUCGUCCGACUGCAGUGAUGUUUACAACUAAUUGAUCACAUUCAGUUACAGAUUUAUUUGUUCCUUCUCCAUUCCCACUGCUUCACUUGACUAGCCUUCA
Molecule: Y RNA, 102 nt
Filed under: Rhinopithecus roxellana (golden snub-nosed monkey)
Lineage: Eukaryota; Metazoa; Chordata; Mammalia; Primates; Cercopithecidae
Description: Y RNA (ENSRROG00000016580.1)
Rfam family: Y RNA
About the family: Y RNAs are components of the Ro ribonucleoprotein particle (Ro RNP), in association with Ro60 and La proteins. The Y RNAs and Ro60 and La proteins are well conserved, but the function of the Ro RNP is not known. In humans the RNA component can be one of four small RNAs -- hY1, hY3, hY4 and hY5.
Source: Rfam by way of RNAcentral